This 450-nucleotide ribosomal RNA is filed under the name uncultured bacterium. RNAcentral describes it as "bacterial SSU rRNA". It matches the Rfam family "Bacterial small subunit ribosomal RNA", at positions 354 to 796 of the family's 1533-position model. The record is from RNAcentral.
GUGGGGAAUAUUGGACAAUGGGCGAAAGCCUGAUCCAGCCAUGCCGCGUGUGUGAAGAAGGUCUUCGGAUUGUAAAGCACUUUAAGUUGGGAGGAAGGGCAGUAAGUUAAUACCUUGCUGUUUUGACGUUACCGACAGAAUAAGCACCGGCUAACUUCGUGCCAGCAGCCGCGGUAAUACGAAGGGUGCAAGCGUUAAUCGGAAUUACUGGGCGUAAAGCGCGCGUAGGUGGUUUUGUAAGUUGGAGGUGAAAUCCCCGGGCUCAACCUGGGAACUGCAUUUGUGACUGUAUAGCUAGAGUACGGUAGAGGGUAGUGGAAUUUCCUGUGUAGCGGUGAAAUGCGUAGAUAUAGGAAGGAACACCAGUGGCGAAGGCGACUACCUGGACUGAUACUGACACUGAGGUGCGAAAGCGUGGGGAGCAAACAGGAUUAGAUACCCUAGUAGUCC